GAUGAACGCUGGCGGCGUGCCUAAUACAUGCAAGUCGAGCGAACAGACGAGGAGCUUGCUCCUCUGACGUUAGCGGCGGACGGGUGAGUAACACGUGGAUAACCUACCUAUAAGACUGGGAUAACUUCGGGAAACCGGAGCUAAUACCGGAUAAUAUAUUGAACCGCAUGGUUCAAUGGUGAAAGACGGUUUUGCUGUCACUUAUAGAUGGAUCCGCGCCGCAUUAGCUAGUUGGUAAGGUAACGGCUUACCAAGGCAACGAUGCGUAGCCGACCUGAGAGGGUGAUCGGCCACACUGGAACGGAGACACGGUCCAGACUCCUACGGGAGGCAGCAGUAGGGAAUCUUCCGCAAUGGGCGAAAGCCUGACGGAGCAACGCCGCGUGAGUGAUGAAGGUCUUCGGAUCGUAAAACUCUGUUAUUAGGGAAGAACAAAUGUGUAAGUAACUAUGCACGUCUUGACGGUACCUAAUCGGAAAGCCAGGGCUAACUACGUG
This 497-nucleotide ribosomal RNA is filed under the name uncultured bacterium. RNAcentral describes it as "partial 16S ribosomal RNA". It matches the Rfam family "Bacterial small subunit ribosomal RNA", at positions 28 to 507 of the family's 1533-position model. The record is from RNAcentral.